CGGGCAGACGGACAGCUGGCCGGCCGGACUUUCCUUUCAUGCCCGCAGCCCUGGCCCGCACUCGCUUCUCACAGAGCCGCUGUUUUCCUGGGGCGACGCCUCUGGCCGGGGCCGAAGCGAGGGCGCUGUGCUCUGCGCACAGGGCGGGCAGCGCGGUUCCCCGCGGCCGAGGCCGGAGCGGGCGAGGUCUGUGCUGCGGGCCGAGGCAGAGACGAGCGCUCUAAGAAGAGCAGCGGGGCCGAGGCCAUUGUGGGCUUUGCACAUAGAACCAUCGAAUAGUUUGGGCUGGAAAGGACCUUAAAAGGUCAUCUGGUCUAACGCCCUGCAAUGAGCAGGGACAUCUUCAACUAGAUCAGGUUGCUCGGAGCCCGGUCCAGCCUGGCCUGGAAUGUCUCCAGGGAUGGGGCAUCUACCACCUCUCUGGACAACCUGGGCCAGUGUUCCACCACCCUCGUUGUGAAAAAUUUCUUCCUCAUGUCCAGCCUGAAUCUCUUCUCCUUUAGUUUAAAACCAUCACCCCUAGUCCUGUUGCUACAGGCCCUGCUAAAGAGUCUGUCCCCAUCUUUCUUAUUGGCCCCCUUUAAGUAUUGAGGGGCUGCCACAGGUCUCCCUGGAGCCUUCUCCAGGCUGAACAGCCCCAGCUCUCUCAGCCUGUCCUCACAGCACAGCUGUUCCAGCCCCCUGAUCAUUUUUGUGGCCUCCUCUGGCCCCUCUCCAACAGGUCCAUGCCAUGAGGGCUCCAUGCCCUGCCAACCUGCACACUUGCUCAGACUUCGCCGUGGGUCCAAGAGUCACAUCACUGAGGCCAGGACCUGGAACUGAACGGUUCUCAUUCUUUCAGGACACUGUCUAACACACAGGAAUGCUUCCUCAUGGCAGUGCAAUAGGAGAGGGACCUCAGGGUGACUCUCUGGGCCUGUGGGAGAGCUCAGUGGCCUGGCUGUCAACAAGAACAGCCUGUUACUUGUGAACUGGUCAAGAUUAACGUCAUGAUGCCAAUAUUGAAGAACAGUAUCAAAGUACAGGGUACCCUAGAGGACCUGAUUUAUAUCACCCCCAGAGCCAAGUGCUAUGGAGUGGUUUUGAGUGUCCAGCAUGCCCACAACAGAGCAGUGUACCAUCUGAGUCUGAAUAAUUUAAGUUGAAAACCAUCUAAUUCUAGGAAAAUCAUUAGAUAAAUAGGAAAGGGGAGUUGUGUGGACUGUAGAUGUGUCAUACAAGUCUGGAGAAGGUCUUGGAGACCAGUGACUACAAGACUUGCUAACCACUGAGAAUUGGAGCUGGAGGAAAAGAAGACCAGUAAUGUUUUUGGGUUUCCCUGAAGAAAGCUCAGGCUAAGAGCAAAGAGGGCUACUUGCUGGCUUUGCUCCAGAGGAGCAGGUCUCAGGUGAGCAAGCUGAUGCAAAGAGGAAAAAUUCAAGUGCUGUGCUCUGCUCAGAAGGAAGGACGAAACGAGAAAAUGCCCAGGAUGGCUCUCAUGGACGUUUGGAGGUUGGAUUCCUGCACACUGACCUGUGCUGGCAGGUCCUCCUGCCUGCACACUGUCCAUCUGGAACUUGCAGACCAGGGAAAAUCAGUGACUUCCAAGGCCCAUGUGUGUCACUGAGUUUUUAAUCACUGAUUAAAUCCUUCGUACCUCGCUACCUAAGCUAUUGCUGCAACAUCUGAUUGACCUAAAAUCUGUUGAGCAAAGACUGGUGAAACAGCAACAGAAAUGGCAAAUCCAUUCAUCAGCUCCCAUGAAUUUUGCCUGUCAGCUAAAGCCUUCAUAUUAACUGCAUUUUCCUGGAGAACCAGAUUCAUGUUUGGGUAAACCUAGCAAUGGAAUGCAAACUUAUUGAUAAGCAUGGAUGGACAUCUCGCGAGAGGGGCGACGAGAAACCGGUGACCAAGAAACUGACCAACUGUGUAUAACAUUCCAUUCACGUGAAUACUCCAUAUAAAAGUGGAAGAUCACGAGGAUCUCGGCCCUUUUUCCCUUUUCCCUUCUGCUUAUGGCCGACAUUAGGAGAGGACCUUGCUAGUCGUCCCUGCGAACUGAGGCCUAGUGAGAGACUGAAUCCAGCUCCGGUUGGCUGCAGAGUUCAAUCCAGGACUUCGGGUGCCGGCUCUGCAGUUGCUGAGACUUUCAAGAAUGGUUUUGUAUAUUUUGUAUUAUUUUCUCUAUUCUUAUUAGUAGCAUUAGUAAAACAUUGUUAAUUUUUCCAACUCUCUUCUCUCUGUCC
Molecule: long non-coding RNA, 2225 nt
Organism: Columba livia (rock pigeon)
Lineage: Eukaryota; Metazoa; Chordata; Aves; Columbiformes; Columbidae
Exons: 3
Source: RefSeq, a predicted model, not a curated record